GCGGGGGGCUGCGGGGGCGGGGCAGACCUCCAGCCGGCUCUCCGCAAACCUCGCUUCUAGCCUUGUCUUCCUGCGCCCAUUCUGGACACCCGGGCCCAGCUCUGAGUUCUUGUUUUAACACCUACUAUGCGCCAGGCCCCCCGUCGGAGGAGUCCUAGUUAGCCUUAUUAAUAAGGGUUAGAUAAUGUCCAGGCGCUCGAUAUGCAUCAGCUCGUUAAAGUUUCACAGCCUCUCCAUCAUCAUCUCCAUUUUACAUGUGAGGAAACUGAGGCGAGGAGAUGUGAAGAAAUAGGAGGGAGGGUUUCCAGGGAUGAGUAAGAGAAGAUGUCAGCCUUGAGGAGCUGUCAGUUCUAUUAUGGGCGAUUAGUGAAGGCCGACUCUCUGCCAGGUGCUGAGCACGGCAUCUUUCACCCAUUACGUGCUUGAGGAAAUUAAGGCUCGGACGCCUGCAGUAAUUUAUGCAGGGGCACUCUGCUAGGAGGGGCUGAGCUGACGCUCCAAACCUCCACUGUCCAGUCUGGUGGCCAAACAACCACCUGGAGAAAACUGUAAAGGAGGCACAGGCAGAAGGUUCGAGAACUCAGAGAUGGGGAAAUGUGGUCUUCGGGAAAAUCAGGGGCGGCAUCAAGGAGGAAGGGAAAGGUAAGCAGCCACUGAGAGGCUGAGAAUGGCUAGAGGUGGAGGUAGAGGAGGAGGGAGAGGGACGGAUGAAGCUAAAGGGAUGCCUGAGGGCUGGAACACCCAGGGCCUUGGAUUCUGAGCUCGGGCUCGUGAAUGUCAGCCUGCUGGCAGCCAGAGUCCAUGAGGGGAGUUUCUAAACAGGGGGUGAGCUAAGUCAGCCCUCACGGAGGAGGUGACGCUGAAGCAUGUGUUAGCAGCCGUGACAGCAGCUGUUGCUUAGGGAGUGGGAAGGUUUUAAGAGAAGUAGCAAAUGCUCCCAGAGAUGUGUACUUUUCCACUGAUCAUCUGGUGAGUAUCUCAGAGAGGUGGAUUUCAACUGAGUGUAGGAAAAUGCUUUUCUCCAAAGGGAGCUUUGAAGGCAGGUGGGUCAAAGUUCUGGGCAGCCUAAGCGGGAGGCCCAGCUCCACCCCUCGCUGCCUCUGCAGCCCUGGGCAGGUCCCUCCACCUGCUGGCUGCCUCAGUUACCUCAUCUACAAAAUUGGCAUGAUGGUAUGGUGGCUGUGAGCAUUAUAUGAUAUAGUGCUUCUAAAAUAUUUAGCGCAAUGUGGCAAAAUGUUAAUUAGUGAAUCUAGGCAAAGGGUGUUUGUUGUACGAUUCUUGCAACUUUUCUGUUGGUUUAAAUUUUUGCAAAAUAAAAAAGGUUGUGUGGGGUGGGGGGGAGACAGACAAUUCUCGCCUGCAUAGAACACUCAGAAACUGAUCCUAAUGGCGCCUCUGGGGAGGGGAGCUGAGUGGUUGAGAGGCGGCCUACUUUUAGUUUUCACUGUAAGCCCUUUUGUUCUUUUUAGAUUGGUAUUGUGUGUAUAUACAACUUGUAAAAUAAUUUUUUAAAGUCCUACCCAUGCCUCAAGGUCAAUGCAAAGGCCACUUCCCUUAAGAAAAAGCUUGGGAUGUUCUGCUCAGGUCGGUGGACACAUCCAGCAGCUGCCUUGAAUGGGAGGGCCCCACAACUGGGGGAUAAAGACGCGUUUGAUUCAGCCCUGCCUAGAAGGAGCUCAUACUCCAGCAAGUGGAGACAAAAAGAAACAGGAGGCGGACAAACAAAUCCAAUCCGGGGCGUGGUGAGGGUCCAGACAAGGGCAGCCGGCUCCUUAUGCAGCUUCAGGGACGGCUCCUUGGAGGAGGCAGUGGCUGAGCCGAGUUCUGAGCUGAACUCCCAGCCAGGAGAAGGUAGAGGGAAGGCAUUCCAGAUGGAAGGAGCAUGUGAGCAGAAGCUUGGGGCCUUGAAAGCAAAGGGUGCAUGAAUGCAAGCACCUCAGCAUGACUGGGUGGUACAGAGAGGGGGAGAGUAACGAGCAGUGAGAGUGACUGGGAGCCGCAAAUAGAUGGGGCGCCCGAGGGCACACGCUGUGGGAAUCCCAUCAUGACAGACUAAGGCUCAGCCUCUUCAGGGAGAUAGGUCAUGUUGUUUAUCAAUAUUAUUGUUAUUUUAUUUCCAUUUUACAGAAAACACACAUGAGCCUCAGGGCAUUUAAAGAACUUGCCUGUGGUCACAGUAUAGACCCUCUAUGUGAGGAUUCAAGCCCACACAGGCAAUACCAGAGCUGCCUGGUCAAUGGGGAACCAGUAAAUGGAUCUUUCAGAUUGAGCGCUUAAAUGAGGGCUAUUGGCCUGGAGAAUGACUCAGAGGUGGAGGACCGGAAACAUGAUCAACCGGGAAGCUACUGCAAUAGCCCAGAGCGUAGAGAAGGUGGGGGUCUGAGCUAGGACGGGGUCAGUGGGAGGUGGAGAUCAGAAUGAAUCUGGGAAACACUCAGGAGGUGGAAUAUGUAGAUCUAGCCACUCACUGUGCUGCCCUCCAGAACUUGACUAGACUGGGCGCCAGAGGGCAGGGCUGGAUCUCAUUCCUGCUGUCUCCCCCAGGCCUACUUCAGUGCCUGGCACAUAAUGGCUGCUCACAAAGCCCUGCCGAGUGAAUGAAGCCACACUUGCUGUUCUGUCUUGUAUUGUCGUAUUUCCCACACACAAUUAUAAAACCCAUGCAAAUAUAAGCCUUGGGUUCCAUUUGCAGGAGCCUAGAAUAGCACGUCACACAAGGUCAAAUACCCAAUGGAAACAUGUCAACAUUCACUGGGCUGUACACCUGAGAUGUGCUCCCUUUAUUGUGCACGUCUCAGUGUACAAUGUGUAUCUCAAAUAAACAGCAAAGAAGUGAACAAAGACAGGUUUCUCAGGUGGGCCCCAAAUGCAAGUCCUGCUCUUUGCACCUGAUGGCAUCGUGUGAGGGAGCAGAACUUACACACACACACACACACACACACACACACAGGAAAAUCCACUCUCACAUCAAGCUUUGGAACCUCGCACAAAUAGGCACGCACACACAGGUAACCGCUGUGUUAUCUCUGUCAUCACACAUUAGUCUGGUUUGUCCAUGAACUGUCUAUAAGUAGAACCUGCACUCUCUGUGUCUGGCUUUUCUCACUCAACAGUACGUCUGAGCAAUUUGUCCAUGGUGUUGUGUGUAUCAGUGCUUCAUGCUUUUUCACUGCCCCCUCGCAGUCCAUUGUGUAGUUAUAUUGCAAUUCAUCUGGCCGUGCUCCCAUGGGUGUCCAUUUGGGAUGUUUCCAGUUUGGGUUAUCAUGAAGAAAGCUCUUAGGGACAUCCUUGUGCGCGUCUUUUGGUGGACUUAAGGACUUAUUUCUGUACACCGAGGAGGGGAUGACAGGGUUCUUUGGUAAGCCUAUGUUUGAUUUGACAGGAAACUGCCCAACAGUUCUCCCAACCUGGGAGCUGACUCUCCUCUCACCCUUUCUCUUCUUUUUCUUGAGGAAGAUUAGCCCUGAGCUAACAUCUGCCACCAAUCUUCCUCUUUUUGCUGAGGAAGACUGGCCCUGAGCUCACAUCCGUGCCCAUCUUCCUCUACUUUAUGUGUGAGACACCUACCACAGUAUGGCUUGCCAAGCGGUGCCAUGUCCGCACCCGGGAUCAGAACCGGCGAACCCCAGGCCACUCAAGCGGAAGCCCAGCAAUCCUAACACCCAUGAAUUUAUUCCAAGACAGCAAAAUGAAAGAGGUCCACGGACACUGUUCACCGAAUGUGCAGCGCCUGUUACAGAGGAGCGGCUUCAAAAAUAUUUGUUGGAUCUGAGAUUGAGCUACAGCAUCGUUCUUUGCAGCUUUGUUUGUAAAAGGAAAGACCAAAAGCAACAGACAUGGACGACCUUACGGUGCCAGCUAAAUAAACGACAGCAGAUCCAUAAAACAGAAUGAUGUCCUGUCGUUAAAAUCAGGUUGUAAUAACACUCGUAGAUGCCCCGCCCACCAAGAGGUGGGGCUUAAUCCUCCUCCCCUUGAGUGCGGCAUGGACUUUAUGGCUGGUAUCUAAAGGAUGGAGUGGAAGGGGGAAAAUAGUACUUUUACAGAGGAGAGACCCAGCAGACACUCCCUUCCCUUAACGUCAGCAGAGAUAAAUCGUGGAGAUGUCAGGUACUCCGCAGGAUGCAAUGAGAAGGGCACCUCACCUCUGUGGUCUUCUCCCUCAAAAACCGUACCCCAGUCUCAUCGUGAGAAAGACAUCACACAUACCUGAACUGAGGGGCAUUCUACAAAAUGCCUGAGAAGUCUUCUUCAAAACCGUCAAGGUCACGAAAAACAAGGGAAGACUCAGAAACUGUCGGGGACCAGAGGAGCCAAAGGAAGGGACUUAGACCGAAUGCCACGUGGCAUCCAAAAUGGAGUCCUGGAAUAUGAAAAAGACUUUUGUGGAAGAACUGGCAAAAUCCUAAUGAAGUGCAUAGUUUAGUUAAUAAUAUUUUACUGACGUUAAGUUUUCAGUUUUGGCAGAUAUAGCAUGGUUAUGCAAGACGUUAGCAUCCGGGGAAGCUGGGUGAAGAGUACACAGGAACUCCUGUGCUCUCUUGGCUAUAAACCUAGAAUCAGUCAAAAAUUUAAUAUUAUUUAAAAAAAAACAGAAUGUAGAUAUUUAUUAGCAUAGAAAUGUAUUCAUGAUAUGUUAAGGGGAAGUCUGUGUAUGGUGUCAUACAGUUUUUGCUGAAUGAGCCCAUUUUUGUAAAAAAAAAAUACUGAUAAGGUGUGUAUAUAUACAUGAAUGGAUAUACAUGCACAUAUACACACACACGCAGGAAAACAAAAGUCUAGGAAGACAUCCUUCCAGGAUUUCGGCCUCCAGGGCCCGGCAGGAGAGGACCGUAGUGGCCGUGGUGAGCCGGAGUGUUUACGGUCCUUCUAAAACAGGCAGCAGCUUCAUGGCCCCAGCCAGUUGCUGUCCUGCAGGACUUGGAACCAGUUCUGAUAGAUCAUCUCAUUUUCCAAAAGAAAUUGAAACCGAG
This is a long non-coding RNA of Equus caballus (horse), 4973 nucleotides long. NCBI's taxonomy places the organism in Eukaryota, Metazoa, Chordata, Mammalia, Perissodactyla, Equidae. The record is from Ensembl.